AACGGUCUAUACCUGCGGUACCUGCGGAGGGAUCAUUAUCAAUUUACAGCGGACUUCGGUCCUGUCUGCACCCUUGUCUUUUGCGUACUAUAUGUUUCCUCGGUGGGCUUGCCUGCCGAUAGGACACUUGUAAACUCUUUUGUAAUUGCAAUCAGCGUCAGAAAACUAUAAUAGUUACAACUUUCAGCAACGGAUCUCU
Molecule: unclassified non-coding RNA, 199 nt
Filed under: soil metagenome
Description: partial contains 5.8S ribosomal RNA, internal transcribed spacer 2, and large subunit ribosomal RNA
Source: RNAcentral